AGUCGUAACAAGGUCUCCGUAGGUGACCUGCGAGGGAUCAUUACCGAGUGGAGGCGCUCCGGCGCCCCGACUCCCACCCUUUUGAUUUGAUCCAAGACCUCCUUCUGCCUCGGGGCGACCCGGCCUUCGGGCGGCGGUCCCCCCGGCGGUACCCAACCUCAACCCUGCAUCAAUUGUCGAUCUGAGCAUUGAAGCGAAUUCAAUCAAAACUUUUAACAACGGAUCUCUGGUUCUGGCAUCGAUGAAGAACGCAGCGAAAAUGCGAUAAUAAUGUGAAUUGCAGAAUUCAGUGAAUCAUCGAAUCUUUGAACGCACAUUGCGCCCCCUGGUAUUCCGGGGGGCAUGCCUGUUCGGCGUCACAAAAAGGCUCAGGCGAAAGCUUGAUGUUGGCGUCUAGGCCGCUACGAUUGUACCCCGAAAUAGGAUUUUUCAGCGGGCCCCGCCUCAAAUGAUUGGCAGCGCACGUAUCUCCGGCGUAUCCAGGCUUUACAGUCUUCGCUUCGUGGGUGAUCGUGCUCCGUACUCGCCCGCAAACGACCCGUAUAUCACAGAAAUUGACUCUCGAUCAGGUAGGGAUACCCGCUUGAACUUAA
RNAcentral lists this ribosomal RNA (593 nucleotides) under uncultured fungus. RNAcentral's name for it is "eukaryotic LSU rRNA". The stretch from base 208 to 359 matches the Rfam family "5.8S ribosomal RNA". The record is from RNAcentral. Lineage: Eukaryota; Fungi.